GUGCCAGCAGUCGCGGUUAUACGUAGAAGGCUAGCAUUAAUCAUUAUAGGCCUAAAGGAUUCGUAGAUGAUAUAUACAAUAUAUAUUAGAAUUAAUAAUUAAAGGUAUAUCAAUUGUAAUAGUAGUGAUAAAAUAUCGUAAUAAUUACAAGAGAGUCAAUGAUGAAGAUAUAUACCAAUUAUUAAUUGACAUUAAGGAAUGAAAGCUAAAGUAUCGAAAUGGACUAGUAACCCAAGUAGUUUUAGCAGUAAACUAUGAAUGUUAAAUAUUAUAUAAUAUAAAUAUAUAAUAUUACAAUGAAGAUGUUAAACAUUCCGCCUGAUGAGUAUGUUCGCAAGAAUGAAAUUCAAGAUAAUAGACGGUUAUAAACACAAGCAGUGGAGCAUGUUAUUUAAU
This 396-nucleotide ribosomal RNA is filed under the name Sporopachydermia quercuum. Its description in RNAcentral is "SSU rRNA". It matches the Rfam family "Bacterial small subunit ribosomal RNA", at positions 505 to 950 of the family's 1533-position model. Lineage: Eukaryota; Fungi; Ascomycota; Sporopachydermiomycetes; Sporopachydermiales; Sporopachydermiaceae. The record is from RNAcentral.